UACAGAGGUCUCAAGCGUUGUUCGGAUUCAUUGGGCGUAAAGGGUGCGUAGGCGGCGCGGUAAGUCGGGUGUGAAAUCUCGGGGCUCAACUCCGAAACUGCAUUCGAUACUGCCGUGCUUGAGGACUGGAGAGGAGACUGGAAUUCCUGGUGUAGCGGUGAAAUGCGCAGAUAUCAGGAGGAACACCGAUGGCGAAGGCAGGUCUCUGGGCCACUACUGACGCUGAGAAGCGAAAGCAUGGGGAGCGAACAGG
This 253-nucleotide ribosomal RNA is filed under the name uncultured bacterium. Its description in RNAcentral is "partial 16S ribosomal RNA". It matches the Rfam family "Bacterial small subunit ribosomal RNA", at positions 524 to 776 of the family's 1533-position model. The record is from RNAcentral.